UGGGGAAUAUUGCACAAUGGGCGCAAGCCUGAUGCAGCCAUGCCGCGUGUAUGAAGAAGGCCUUCGGGUUGUAAAAUACUUUCAGCGUGGAGGAAGGGAGUAAAGUUAAUACCUUUGCUCAUUGACGUUACCCGCAGAAGAAGCACCGGCUAACUCCGUGCCAGCAGCCGCGGUAAUACGGAGGGGGCAAGCGUUAAUCGGAAUUACUGGGCGUAAAGCGCACGCAGGCGGUUUGUUAAGUCAGAUGUGAAAUCCCCGGGCUCAACCUGGGAACUGCAUCUGAGACUGGCAAGAUUGAGUCUCGUAGAGGGGGGUAGAAUUACAGGUGUAGCGGUGAAAUGCGUAGAGAUCUGGAGGAAUACCGGUUGGGAAGGCGGCCCCCUGGACGAAGACUGACGCUCAGGUGCGAAAGCGUGGGGAGCAAACAGG
RNAcentral lists this ribosomal RNA (429 nucleotides) under Chloroflexota bacterium. Its description in RNAcentral is "Chloroflexi bacterium partial 16S ribosomal RNA". It matches the Rfam family "Bacterial small subunit ribosomal RNA", at positions 355 to 776 of the family's 1533-position model. The record is from RNAcentral. Lineage: Bacteria; Bacillati; Chloroflexota.